GUGGGGAAUAUUGCACAAUGGGGGAAACCCUGAUGCAGCAACGCCGCGUGAGUGAAGAAGUAUUUCGGUAUGUAAAGCUCUAUCAGCAGGGAAGAGAAUGACGGUACCUGACUAAGAAGCCCCGGCUAACUACGUGCCAGCAGCCGCGGUAAUACGUAGGGGGCGAGCGUUAUCCGGAUUUACUGGGUGUAAAGGGAGCGUAGACGGCGAUGCAAGUCUGAAGUGAAAGCCCGCGGCUCAACCGCGGAACCGCUUUGGAAACUGUGUAGCUGGAGUGCUGGAGAGGUAAGCGGAAUUCCUGGUGUAGCGGUGAAAUGCGUAGAUAUCAGGAGGAACACCGGUGGCGAAGGCGGCUUACUGGACAGUAACUGACGUUGAGGCUCGAAGGCGUGGGGAGCAAACAGGA
RNAcentral lists this ribosomal RNA (406 nucleotides) under uncultured bacterium. RNAcentral's name for it is "bacterial SSU rRNA". It matches the Rfam family "Bacterial small subunit ribosomal RNA", at positions 354 to 777 of the family's 1533-position model. The record is from RNAcentral.